This 253-nucleotide ribosomal RNA is filed under the name uncultured bacterium. RNAcentral's name for it is "partial 16S ribosomal RNA". It matches the Rfam family "Bacterial small subunit ribosomal RNA", at positions 524 to 776 of the family's 1533-position model. The record is from RNAcentral.
UACGUAGGGGGCAAGCGUUGUCCGGAAUUAUUGGGCGUAAAGCGCGCGCAGGCGGUUCUUUAAGUCUGAUGUGAAAGCCCACGGCUCAACCGUGGAGGGUCAUUGGAAACUGGAGGACUUGAGUGCAGGAGAGGAAAGUGGAAUUCCACGUGUAGCGGUGAAAUGCGUAGAGAUGUGGAGGAACACCAGUGGCGAAGGCGACUUUCUGGCCUGUAACUGACGCUGAGGCGCGAAAGCGUGGGGAGCAAACAGG